UACGUAGGGGGCAAGCGUUGUCCGGAAUCAUUGGGCGUAAAGAGCGCGUAGGCGGCCCUGUAAGUCCGCUGUGAAAGUCAAGGGCUCAACCCUUGAAUGCCGGUGGAUACUGCAGGGCUAGAGUCCGGAAGAGGCGAGUGGAAUUCCUGGUGUAGUGGUGGAAUGCGUAGAUAUCGGGAGGAACACCAGUGGCGAAGGCGGUUGCCUGGAGCUUUGCUGACGCUGAUGCGCGAAAGCGUGGGGAGCGAUCCGG
RNAcentral lists this ribosomal RNA (253 nucleotides) under uncultured bacterium. Its description in RNAcentral is "partial 16S ribosomal RNA". It matches the Rfam family "Bacterial small subunit ribosomal RNA", at positions 524 to 776 of the family's 1533-position model. The record is from RNAcentral.